This 465-nucleotide ribosomal RNA is filed under the name uncultured bacterium. Its description in RNAcentral is "partial 16S ribosomal RNA". It matches the Rfam family "Bacterial small subunit ribosomal RNA", at positions 28 to 507 of the family's 1533-position model. The record is from RNAcentral.
GACGAACGCUGGCGGCGUGCUUAACACAUGCAAGUCGAACGGAAAGGCCCUGCUUGCAGGGUACUCGAGUGGCGAACGGGUGAGUAACACGUGGGUGAUCUGCCCUGCACUUCGGGAUAAGCCUGGGAAACUGGGUCUAAUACCGGAUAGGAGCCAUUUUUAGUGUGAUGGUUGGAAAGUUUUUUCGGUGUAGGAUGAGCUCGCGGCCUAUCAGCUUGUUGGUGGGGUAAUGGCCUACCAAGGCGGCGACGGGUAGCCGGCCUGAGAGGGUGGACGGCCACAGUGGGACUGAGAUACGGCCCAGACUCCUACGGGAGGCAGCAGGGGGGAAUAUUGCACAAUGGGCGCAAGCCUGAUGCAGCGACGCCGCGUGGGGGAGGACGGCCCUCGGGUUGUAAACUCCUUUCGCUAGGGACGAAGCUUUUUGUGACGGUACCUAGAGAAGAAGCACCGGCUAACUACGUG